Molecule: long non-coding RNA, 10844 nt
Filed under: Vigna radiata
Lineage: Eukaryota; Viridiplantae; Streptophyta; Magnoliopsida; Fabales; Fabaceae
Description: long non-coding RNA (VRAD_LNC014511)
Source: RNAcentral
UUGGCUUCAUGAAUGCAUCUAUAAAUUCAUGAAGACCUCACUUGUAAAACACUUUGGAUUCUAUGAGAAAUUUCUGCCAAUUCUGAAAUUCUUCUCAACUUAGCAAAUGCUUGCCAAAGUCACUUCUUCUCUCAACUCUCUCCCACCUCUUAGCUUUCUUCCAACAAUGGAAGCUGCCUGAAGCUAGGACCACCUCAUUCCCUCUCUGCCGCCACUAGCAUCCAUCCAGAUCCAUCAACUUUCCGCUGCCACCUGCUGGAACUAUGCCUUCUCGGAGUCUCACUUCAACCAAGCAAUGGAGAGGCUUAUCAAGUGGUAUUCAGAGCCUUGUUGCUGAUCCACAUUUCAGAUAAGUCACUGUUACAUUGCCUUCAUCCGUGUUGUGCUGUUCUAUUCCUAAAUUCACUGUUUCAUUGAGUUUUUCUUUACUGCAUCUGUGUGAGUGAGUCUUUGGUCAUCAUUCAUGUGUUCCUUAGUGUUUCCUCCACAUUUUAAUCGGUGCAUCUUGUGUGUUCUUCAUUUUAUUCAGCUUUAAAUUUCAGAUUCCAGUUUUGUCAAGUCUUGUGCUAUGAUUUCAGCAGUUUUGAAUUGUUAUUUGGUUUUCCAUUCAGCAANUGUGUNUCUGUGUUUGANUUAGAUCAGUGCANUGAUAGCUCUUCUUUGAUCUUAAAAAGCAUCAAGACUUUGUCUAGCUUUGAUCACAUGAGCUUAGCAUGGAAGGAAAACACCAAUUCUGCAAAAAUUUCUGAAUUCUGCGUUAACGUUCUCUGUUGCUAAAUCUGGAACUACUUUGCUUACUGUUCAGUCCAGAUCUGUGUGGUUUGGUGUUUGCUGCAAGUAUCCUUUAUGAUUUUAAACUUGUUUCAAGUGUAUACUAACCAUUUGCAUCAUUGAAUCACAGAAGCUAUAGUGGAGUUACGGGAUUUCCCGAAUAUACAGUAACAAAAUUCACUGCUGUAUCCGUUUCUGUUAUGAAAAUUAAAGUCUGUGAUUCAGAGGUGUGUGCAAUUUGUUUAGAUGGUUUGAAUUGAUGUUAACCACUUCAAUAAUUGAUUUAAUUCAAAUCUGAUGUAUGGGGAUUAAAGCAAUUACGUUGCUGCAUUAAAAUCUGUCAUGAAUGUGUUGUUGUUUCUGGUUGAACUCUGCACCGUGUUCUUUGCUUUGCCAGUCAGUAGGCCAUUUCAAUUCUGCUAGUCUUAUCUUCUAAAGCUAGAUCUAGACUUAAUUUCCUUGAAUUCAUUGUUCCUAAACCAAUUUGAAUCCAGUUCAUAUUGAUUUCAUAAACUGCUGCAGNUGUUACAAACAAAUUAACAAACAAAGUUAAAAAUAAUUAAACUCAACACUAACUCAAACACAUUAAACUCAACCUAUUAAAAAAUUAAUUAAAAACCAAAGAAACCAACAAGCCUAAUUUAAUCCUAGCAAUUAACUUGACUAAAUGACAAUUAGCAAUUAAUUUUAAAAGUCCAAUUGGUCAAAUAGAACCUCAUGGUCGUGCACUACUCUCCACAAAAACUAAAUCAAUUUUUAAUCUUCAAUGAGCCACCAAAUUUGUUGUCUUUUUGUCCCCAUAUGCAUCAUGUCUAUAAAGAAAUUAAAAUAUGUUUUAAAUAACCAAUUGAAAACCUUCCCAUCACUUCUCCAUGCAGCAAUUUCGGAAUCCACACUCCAAGACCACAAAAAGCCGAACCUAACAAGUGAAUUCUACAAAAAUAAUGCUUCAAAGACCAAUGUGCAAAUGGAAGAUACCUUGGGUGCUCCUACCAAUGUGCCAAGUAGGCUAAACCAAAUGAAAACAAACUCCAAAAACGUCUCACCACCGAAGCACCAAGCAAGCUCCCCUUAGAGCAUGUUCAUACAUGAAAACCCUAGGAGAGAAAAGUUCAAAACCAUGAAGUAUGAAGUGUGUCAAAUGGUGGCUCGCUAUUCUCCCCCUUAAGACCGAGAGUCCUCCCCAAGGUGGGGUCCACAAAUAAUUUAAAACCCUAACCGAAAAGACACAUGUCCUACACAUGUUUUUUUUUACAAAAUUGCCCCUAAAAGGGUCCAAAACACCUAAUUCUAAUUAUGGACUUCUAGAAAACGAAAUUACAACUUUAAUCAGAAUCUAAAUGACUAAAUUUUGAGCAUUUGAAUGUGUCACACCAUAUCAUAAUGCUCCAGAUGAUGUUUCCACAACUUCCCUGCAACCAGAAAUGCGCUUAAUCAGCUUAGAAAAUCCAAAUUAGCACAAUUACGAAUUUCCGACCAAAUGAAGCAGAAUUCGGAAAAUGGGGAAAUAACAGAAAAUUAUGGUUUAUUAAAAUGCAAUAAAUUAAAUACAUUUCAAGAAAUAACGACUCAUCACCAACGGAGCAUCCCAUCUUCAAAGCAGCAGCCCAAUUCAGCUUGAGCAACUCUUCCAUUCAAUGUUGACCCAGACGUGGCUUGGCCCAAUUUUAGCACCAGAGUUUCCUUAAAACGCACAACAUUAGCACGUCAUUACCUAGCCCAACCAUUCAAAUCAUUGUCGGCCCAAAUUGCAUGGCCCAUUUUUCCAAUAGCUAAUCCUGUAAAAAGAAUGAAAAUGAAGAAUUAUACAACAAAAAGAAAAAAUAAAAUUCUAUAACAACAAAAGAAAUUCUUAUUUUUAUUUUCUGAACUUUUUCUAAAAAUUAAAAUAACCUAUUUAUUUAAAAAUAUUUUAUUUAACUAAAAAGACAAAAUUAACACUAUUUUAACAAAAAUCCUAUUUUUUUCCUAAUUAUUCUAAACUACCUUAAUUCUAGAAAAUUAAAAGCUAAACUAUCUUAAAAGAAGAAUAUGAACACACAAAAAUGGGAAAAAAUAGAGACAUAACAGUUUGAAUUUAUGUUUAAAAAAUAUUUAAAACGGACCAAUCACAAACUACCACGUAUGUAUUGUAAAAAAAUUAUCAAAAAAUAAUUGUUAAAAGAGCUUUUUCCUUAAGGUAUUAGCCAAAUGAUACAAGAAGAAGUUAAAAAUGAUAGAUAAAUUCAAGUGGGUAAGGAGAAGAACAACUAAAGUAAAGAAUGCAAAAACAAAUAAAGGUAUAUUAACAUAAAAACUGAGCAUAUAAAAAAUGGCCUGACCAACACCCAAACAAUCAGUAGAGAUUACAAAAUAAACAAUUGUUCAAUGUUUUAGCAAAGUGAAAACCCCAUAGCCUAUUUGAGACAACUGUCAAGUCAUCCCCAAUGGCCCAAUCCUCAGUCGACCCUUUUCCCUAGCUAGUCUGAUCAUCAACAAUCUCCAUCAUUGGCUUAUUUUCUUUGAUUCGAGAAUGAAGGCUCAGAAGCUUCCUGUCGUGAAGCUCUUUCAUCACAUCAAACUCCCACUGUCUAAGGGGAUCCAAAAGAAGAAUGUAGCUCGAGACGAUGCCUAUUUGAAACUGGUCAUGUGUUCGUUGAAUAGCUCCUCGUUGACCUCUUCUACCUCAAUAGUAAGACCAUCUUCCUACUUAGUCAAAUCCUUGCUAAAGCUUGGUGUUCUUGAGGGUCAUCUCAUCGAUGGUGUUCGUUAGCUUCUAACAAUCUAAGUUCAAAUCAUCAAUUUUUCAUUGUAGCUCACAAAUAGCUAGCUUGGCAGUAACUAAUGAAACCAAAGGAAAACAUUACAAGAUGGAGGGAGUUGAAUAGUGUUUUCAAAUUCUUUUUCAAAUGUAGUCUCUCACCAGUAUUAUGAAGUAAGUGAUUCUUGAAAAUUUGUUUAGAUGUUGUUGUUUUGCAAAGCCUUUCAAAAGAUAUAAUAAAACAGACUCUGAACACUAAGAAAUAUGUUUCGUAAUUCAAUGUCUAGAGAAUAAUAAAAUGAUACAUAUUUAUAUUUUUUUAUAUUAAACCACUUACUUCAUAAUACUUGUCAGAAACUAUAUUUGAAAAAGAAAUUGUAAAAUAUAUUAAAAUUCUCUAAUGUUCGAUAGUGUGGAUUGAUCUAGCCAUUCAAAACAACUUCUGAACCUCUAAACCUUAGCUUUUAAGAAUACUUCUUUCACAUGACCCACCAAUAUGCCUCUGUCAAACUAAAAACACUAUCCAUCUAUAAUCAAACAGUAUCAAUAAAUAAUAAAUGAUAUAUAAGAAGGUAAUAAAAAGUGAUAAAAAUAAUGAAACAUAUAUCAACUACAUUACAGAUAUAAUUAUUAAAAAUUUGUGAAGUUCUAUAUACAUAUAAUUCAUUUAACUUUUUAUUAAAUAAUAUCAGUUUAAUUUUUAUAUACUAAAAGUAUGAAAAAUUUAUUGAACAAAAAGAAUAUUUUUUUUUUGUAAUUUAAUAUAAAAAUAAUAAAUAUAUUUUUUUAGGGAUAAAUAUUUUACAAGACAAAGUUAGUAAUGACAAUUUUUGUAUUGUAUUUAUUAUUUUUAAAAUAAUAUUAAAAAAAAUAAACAAGUAAUUAAUAUUUUAAAUAUAAGUUAAUAAAAGAGUAAAAUAACUCUAUAGAAACAUAUAAAUAAAAGGAUAAAAACAAACAAAAUGAGUAAAAAAAGUAGAAUAACUUUUUAGAAACAUAUUGCGACAAAAUAAAUAUGGAUAAAAAGUUAAUUUACAAUAUCAAAUGACCAAAAAACCAAGAUUUGAAACUUUCAACAAAAUAAAUAUGGAUAAUAAAAUAAAUUUCAUAGUAUCUUCUUUUUUAUAUUAUAUUUUUGUACCAUCAACAAAUAUAUAAUAUUUUUUAAAACAAUAUUAUUUUAAGAAAUAAAAAUAAAAUAAGGUUUUAAAUUCAGUUUGAUUAAGUGACCAAGUAAAUAGAAAUCAUAAAAGAAUGAAAUUAUACUUAAAAAAAGUAAAAUAUAAAAAAAAAUAUUUCAAAUAUAAAAUAUUUUUUAAUAUAAUAAAUGAUAAAAGAAUAAAACAAUUGUCUAGAGAACGAAAAAGAAAAAUCGAUAAAAGAAUAAAAACGUAACAAAUUAAUAAAUAACUCUUUAUGAACAUGUAAAAAUAAAAUAAAUAUAAAAAGUAAAACAAAUAUGAAGCUUUGGUGAAAUGUAGAUCAUGAGAAUGUUAAGGGUUGUGUAAUGGUAUACUAGUGUUGGUAUAAUAUUUGAUUAAAAAUAUUUAACUUUAUAAAAUAAAUAAAAAUUUGUAUAUUAUAUUAUAUUGUUUAGGAUAUUACAUUAAUAUUAUAUUCUUUACGCAUUAUAUAGGAUAUUGAUUUAUUUAAUUGUUUAAUUUAGUUUAACAAUAUUAAAAUUUAUACUUAAUAUAAAGGAGUUGAAUUAUAACAAGGAGGUUAAAAGUUAAACUAACCUAAUUUUAUUUCAGAUAUUAUGAAAACUUAUUAACUUUGAACAAAAUAGUUAGAAAAUUUGGAAUCAAUGACUAAUACAAAAUAAUUAAAAUUAUUAUAAACAUGUUAAUAUAAUUAAUGAAAAUUCACUAAUGUAGAUUUAUAUUUUUAACCAAUUUUUUAUACUUAUUUUAGAAUUGAUAUAAAAAAAAAAAGAUUUUCUUAUCGGCUUUGAAAUGUUAUAAAAAGAGAAUCUUUUAUAUCAAUUAUAAAAUCGAAUACUCUUAUACAUCUUUCUAAUCAAAGUAAAUUAUAAUUUGUACAAAAUUUAAAUUUGAUCUUUGUUAUGAAAUAAAAUAUUUUAUGUAUAUAUGUAUCAAGAAGAAUAAUGUUUAUACAUUCAUAAAAAAAUCUGCCAAUGAAUAAAUAUUUUCAAUCAUUAAUAAUUUAAUCGAUGGAAUAUUUCCUGGAAUGACUAAUUCAAUCAGACUUUGACAUGAAUCAUACAAAUCAAUGUUUCUGCUAUGAACACAGGUUUGUGAAGAGACUGAUCCUUCGUUAAAAAAUUCUGAAAGUAAUUCGUCUGCUAAAGCACAUGAAUCUAGGUUUUUAAUGUUAUCUGGAAUGUCUCCAAGAAUGACAAAAUCUGAAAGACUCUCAGUGAAAUCUUGAGACUUAUUGAUAUUGUUGCAACUUUCAUAGGAAUCUUCCUUUUUUCCUUCAUUGGAUAUUCGUCGAGAAUGAUAAUCUUUAGAAUAAAGAACAAAACAUCGUCUACGAAUCCUUCUAAUAUUGCUUCUACGUUUCUUCACUAUUUUGAAACCUAAAUUACACACCUUGUGAUUGCUUCUUACUUUCAUUGAUAGAUAUUACUAACUUCUUCCACUUCUUCUCAAUGAUUAGACUUUAUUAAAAAAUAAAAUGUUCAAAAUAUAUAUAAUGAAAGUUUAUAUCUUGAAAUAUUAUAGAUAUUUAAUUAUUUUAUCUUUUAUAUCAAUUUAAAAGUUAAAUCUUAACACAAUCAAUCUUUCAUUUAAAAAAUAUUUGUUUUGAAUUGAUUUUCUGUUAUAAUAUCUUUAUGUUAUGAUUGAAAUUUUUUAUUAAUUUUGAUAACAUUGGUUUAUAUUUAUAGAAAAACAAUCUAAGUGAAUUAUUUAACUUUUAGAUAUAUUAUUUAAUGAUUUAAAUUUUUUUCUAUCCAAUUUAAUAUAAAUCCAUUACGCAAAAUUUAUUUUUUUAUUUUAAAACAGUACCAAUAAAUAAUGCUAUAUAGCAAAGAUGAUAAUAAAAAUAAUUAAAAAAAUAUCAACUAGAUAUUUACAAAUUGUUAUUUAAUUAGUAUUAUUUUUUUAGUAUAGGUAUUUAAAUAGAUUGUUACAAUAUAUAUUUAUUUAUAAUAAAAUAAGAGCUAAAGUUAUUUUGAAUUCAAUAUAAUUCUAUAAAUAAGUAUGAAUGUCAUAAUAACAGGGCUUAUAUAUGGAAAUAGCAAUAUAAAGUAGAUGAUAAUAUAUGCACGUAAUUUUAAAUUCGAUUGAUUUCAAAAUCUAAUUUUAUAGUUUCAUCCAAUCUAAGAAAAUAUUUUGAUUUUGGAUUGAAUUAAAUCAAAUCUACAAAAUAUAUAUACAUAUAUAAAGAGAAUAUAUACACAAAUAACAGUAAAAGAUUAUUUUUAUAAUUAUAACAUCCCAAAAUAUAUAGAAUAAUCACGUAUUAUAUGAUAGAUUAAUUAUCCAAAAGUUUUUAAAGUAUUUAAUAAUAUACUUAUCCAAAAAUAACUAUAAAAUUAAAAACUUUACAAAGAUAUUCUUAAGUCUAAUAAUAUAUAUAUAUAUAUAUAUAUAUAUAUAUAUAUAUAUAUAUAUAUAUAUAUAAACAAAACCUAACAAUCAUACUAGAAAAGUAUGAACCAAACAGUUAUACAAAACUAUUCACAUAUCGAACAGUCAUACAACACUCUGUAUACCGAAUGGUCCUAUACUAAGAUGUUGGAGACUCCUCGCUCAACACUUGUUUCAGAGAUCCCGCAUCACAUUUGAUAAUGGUUAAAAAACCAUUAUUUUCAUAUUUGAUUUUAAUGCAAGACACACUUUUUAUGACUGGGAAAUUAGCUUGAAAUGGUGCAUUUUGUCUUAGUUAGGAUAUAAGAGAGUCAAAGGUGGUUUUCUGGGUUUUGUGCUUGGUUUUCCCUUGUUUUUGUAGGAUGUAUCAGGAGUUUGAUGAAGGAAGUGAAGGAAGAGAAGUGUUGGAUGCAAAAUAAGGCGGAAAAGUGAAGAAAAAAGAAUCGCAGCUACCGCCGGGCGGUGAAAUCACCGCCACCGCCAGGCGGUGUGACCUUUAAGGAAUUCUCUGCGACGCGCUUAAGGGGCACUGCCAAGGGGUGAGAUGGGAAUCGCGCAGGUCUUCCCUACAUCAAAUACAAUUCACAAGACCAAAAGAAUUCUCAUUAAGCAUUAGUAAUUCAUGCAACACCCUCUAAACACACUGCCUAUCAUCGUUGAGGGCAAAACAGGGCCCCUUAGUGAUAGCUCCAUCCUUGAGCUAUUCCUCAGAUCCGUGAGAUGCAGAUGCAGAAACGUAGUUGUAGCGGAAGAGAACUGAGAUAGGAUGAUGAGAUGCAGCGAUAGUGUAAGUUUAUGGCACGGUGAGGUGGUUGGAAGUGCUAUGGUGGAAUGAAUCUAGCUUAGAAGGCCUUCACCGUUGGAAGGAAACUAUAGGAGAAAGUGGAAGAAGCACAAGUAGAUGACUCUCGGUGGAGAAUGGCUAAAAGCAUAUGCUCAGAAAUUUCAUUUCUCUCAAUAUCCAAAAGUGUUUGCCUAAGCUGAUACAAGCAAAUUUAUAGUGAGAAAUCCUAGCUAUGGACGGUGCGAAUGGUUGUGGAAGAAGCUCAGAUCUCCACACGUGGCAGCGGUGAGGGAUGUGUGUUCAUGCUUCUGGAUGAUGCAAGGCAACGUGCGUGGGCAGCCAUCGUUCCAGCCAAAUCACGUAUCAGAUAUGGUGAUAGUGUGAUACAUGUGUAUUUUCUUGAGGCAGCUCCAUGCUUGCUAUUCUCACCCCCCACCCCCUUAUGUAAAUGACUCUUUUAUCCUACUCCUUGGACUGGAUUGUUCCAUGCCAAAUCAACUUUAGUCUUCCACACAAAAAAAUGGGCAGUAGUUGACCUUUUGAAGAUCUUUCUAGGGUGUUGUGUAGUUUUCUGAUAAUUCCUCGAGUAAUGGGGCCUUGAUGCAUCACAGUGCUAGGUCCCCAUGUAUCAUCUCCUCCCUCUUGGGAAGGAUUUGUUCUCAAAUCCGAAGGAUCUUCAUCAUCAAUGUCAUAACCUGCAAAAAGUUUAAGGUCAAACACAUUGAAAGUAGAAUGUAUGCCAUAUUCUUGCGGAAGAUCAAGUUGAUAAGCAUUAUUGUUAAUCCUCCGCAACACCUUAAAAGGGCCAUCUCCUCUAGGAUUAAGUUUGGAUUUUCUUAGUUGAUAGCUCCAUGCUUGGCGCUAUAUCACAGAUCCAUGAGCUCCAAAGGUGGAAAUCAGUAGCAGCGGAUGAAAAUGGAAAGAUGCAAUGGAUGUGCAGUGGCAUGAUGUUUAUAUGGUAAGGUGAGAUGGUUUGAAGUGCUUUGCAUGAUGGUGGAUCUAGCUCAAACGACCUUCUCCAUUGGAAGGAAGCUAGAGGAGAAAUUAGAAGAAGCACAAGGUGUUGACUCUCGGUGGAGAAAGGGCUGGAAGCAAAGCAUCAUCAAUUCAUUUCAAUCAUGGAUGGAAGAUUUUCUACAUAUCCUAACAUGAUAUUUUCUUUCAUCCCACCACUCUCUUGCAUGUUUUUCAAACUUAGAAGUGUAAAGACUAAGGAUGUAAGAUUCACAAUCUCUAGAAUAAUAGGAUUAAUAUUUACUUCUGCUAACCAUGAAGAAAUGCAUGUCAUCAAUUUCCCUUUCCCAAGCUAGAUAUGUUAAUGCACCAAUAUCCUCACCAAAGAAUGAAAUAUUUUCCCUAACUUUUUUAUACAAAUUAUCCUCAAUCCUAUCAAACUCAUGAAAUGAACAAGUCUUCCUUCUAGCUUUGUCAUGUUUUCUUUUAUGGUCUUUGUAACUAAGUGGCUUAAAAAUCAUAGAAGAAUAUCUUCUAGACAUUUUUAUGAAUUUAAAAGUUUUCUUGAAGAAAGGAAAAUAAGGUUUUCACUUGAGAGCAAUAUUCCAAGUAAGAGAGAUGGACCUUGUAGGUUGCUUAAAUACCAAGUCUUGCAUUGCCAAAUAUACUCCUAGUUACUUACUAAAAUUUCCUUAAGUUAAAAUUACCUCUAAAUUCAAUAAAAGUCUAAAGACAACAAACAAUCAUGAAGAGAAAAACUAAACUUUAAAACUUUUUCCAAGAGCUUAAAAGAAUUGAAAGAAGUGAGGUCUCCUAGGUGAGGCUUGGAACUUUGGAUCCAAGACACACUUACCGUCUACCAAUUUUAAGUGAAACAAUUAAAGCAAAGUUGGCAAAUGAUGGAACAACACUUCUGAGUUUUUUCUUAUCACUUGCUUGAAUGGCCUUUUUAAAUCCAAAUGAAAUGGUAACAAACAAAAUUUACAAAUUGUAAGGAAAAGAAGGUUUCAGAAGGUUUUAGAAGGUGCAACUUUGGUUUCUCUCAAGUGGAUUUUGCUUGGUAUUAUGGCAGUACACAAUUCUCACAAUUGCUAAAAGUGAAGCUCUUAAUUUGUAGUGAUAUGCAAAGUGAAUCAGACUGUAACAACAACAAUCUGGUACAAUUCAGUAGAAAUGAGUUGCAGCACCGAAAGCCAACAAUCCUGUGUGAUUUCCACCAAUUCUCCACUUCCUAAGAGGCUACCAACGUUAAAGGACCUCUGGUUAGACCAAUCCUGAUACAAGAAGGCCUAGCACCAUAGGACCUAUCACAAGAGGGAUGGUCAAAAAGCUCCAAGAUGAGUAUUCUCCCCAAGGUCAAAUACUAUUUCCUAUUUUUGGAUGGAAGAUUGGAGACCAAGGAAAGGCUCCAAAUGUACCAAAACAUGGAGAAGGGUAAGAUGGUCAUUGCUACCAAAAGGGGAGGUGUUCUUAUCAAGAUAUGGGGCUUCAUUAGAAACUUUCCCUCACAUUUAGAAUAGUGUUUUUCACGUGCUUAAAUAAACCUUUCUAGAAGGUCAUCAUCUUUUCCACAUGGGUGAAAACGUGUAACUUGAUCCAGCUCUUACGGAUCACAUUUUCCUCUUUGCUUGGCUUCAUGAAUGCAUCUAUAAAUUCAUGAAGACCUCACUUGUAAAACACUUUGGAUUCUAUGAGAAAUUUCUGCCAAUUCUGAAAUUCUUCUCAACUUAGCAAAUGCUUGCCAAAGUCACUUCUUCUCUCAACUCUCUCCCACCUCUUAGCUUUCUUCCAACAAUGGAAGCUGCCUGAAGCUAGGACCACCUCAUUCCCUCUCUNCCGCCACUAGCAUCCAUCCAGAUCCAUCAACUUUCCGCUGCCACCUGCUGGAACUAUGCCUUCUCGGAGUCUCACUUCAACCAAGCAAUGGAGAGGCUUAUCAAAUCCCGUCCAGAAUCACCUCAAACAAUUCACAAAUCAAAUGAGAAAUUAGUGGAAUCAAUGAAUCAGCUGCACAAAUUUGCUUCAGAAAAAAAUACUG